UGAACGCUGGCGGCAUGCCUAACACAUGCAAGUCGAACGGAAACGAUGGGAGCUUGCUCCCAGGCGUCGAGUGGCGGACGGGUGAGUAAUACUUAGGAAUCUGCCCAUUAGUGGGGGACAACUAGAAGAAAUUCUAGCUAAUACCGCAUACGCCCUACGGGGGAAAGCGGGGGAUCUUCGGACCUCGCGCUAAUGGAUGAGCCUAAGUCGGAUUAGCUUGUUGGUGAGGUAAUGGCUCACCAAGGCGACGAUCCGUAGCUGGUCUGAGAGGACGAUCAGCCACACUGGGACUGAGACACGGCCCAGACUCCUACGGGAGGCAGCAGUUGGGAAUAUUGGACAAUGGGCGCAAGCCUGAUCCAGCAAUGCCGCGUGUGUGAAGAAGGCCUGCGGGUUGUAAAGCACUUUCAGUAGAGAAGAAAAGCCUACGGUUAAUAGCCGUAAGUCUUGACGUAACCUACAGAAGAAGCACCGGCUAACUCC
This 483-nucleotide ribosomal RNA is filed under the name uncultured bacterium. Its description in RNAcentral is "bacterial SSU rRNA". It matches the Rfam family "Bacterial small subunit ribosomal RNA", at positions 30 to 504 of the family's 1533-position model. The record is from RNAcentral.